This 884-nucleotide ribosomal RNA is filed under the name uncultured bacterium. RNAcentral's name for it is "bacterial SSU rRNA". It matches the Rfam family "Bacterial small subunit ribosomal RNA", at positions 588 to 1471 of the family's 1533-position model. The record is from RNAcentral.
UNUGAAGUUAAAGGCAUUGGCUCAACCAAUGUAUGCUUUGGAGACUGUUAGACUUGAGUGCAGAAGGGGAGAGUGGAAUUNCAUGUGUAGCGGUGAAAUGCGUAGAUAUAUGGAGGAACACCGGUGGCGAAAGCGGCUCUCUGGUCUGUCACUGACGCUGAGGCUCGAAAGCGUGGGUAGCGAACAGGAUUAGAUACCCUGGUAGUNCACGCCGUAAACGCUGAGUGCUAGGUGUUAGGUCCUUCCCGGGACUUAGUGCCGACGCUAACGCAAUAAGCACUCCGCCUGGGGAGUACGACCGCAAGGUUGAAACUCAAAGGAAUUGACGGGGGCCCGCACAAGCGGUGGAGCAUGUGGUUUAAUUCGAAGCAACGCGAAGAACCUUACCAGGUCUUGACAUCCCGAUGCCCGCUCUAGAGAUAGAGUUUUUCUUCGGAACAUCGGAGACAGGUGGUGCAUGGUUGUCGUCAGCUCGUGUCGUGAGAUGUUGGGUUAAGUCCCGCAACGAGCGCAACCCUUAUUGUUAGUUGCCAUCAUUAAGUUGGGCACUCUAGCGAGACUGCCGGUAAUAAACCGGAGGAAGGUGGGGAUGACGUCAAAUCAUCAUGCCCCUUAUGACCUGGGCUACACACGUGCUACAAUGGUUGGUACAACGAGUCGCAAGCCGGUGACGGCAAGCUAAUCUCUGAAAGCCAAUCUCAGUUCGGAUUGUAGGCUGCAACUCGCCUACAUGAAGUCGGAAUCGCUAGUAAUCGCGGAUCAGCACGCCGCGGUGAAUACGUUCCCGGGCCUUGUACACACCGCCCGUCACACCACGAGAGUUUGUAACACCCAAAGUCGGUGAGGUAACCAUUUAUGGGGCCAGCCGCCUAAGGUGGGANGGA